GUCGUCCUCUCUCCUAGGUCUGCACAGCCUAGCCCUGACUUCAGGAACUGAACAGGCUCCCAGAGGUCAGAACCGAAAACAGCCCUAGAGGCCUCCAACCAAAUAUUCCUGACCUGGAUCGUGCAUCCUCAAAGGGCCCUAAGCAGAAACUGAGGUUCGGAAAGGAGUGGCUUCUCCAAGGACGUGCAGCUUGUGCCUAGCAGUGGCAUCAGACCCGCGGCUCUUGGCAUCUCUCAGCAAACUCUCGUUGGACGCAUUAGCCAUCAGGAGGGUUCUAGAUCUCUGAGCUGGAGAAAAGAACCUGCAUGAACCCAUUUUGUCUACACUCUGCCUCAGAGAAGUAACUGGAGCAGUGAUUUUGAGAGCAAUCCAUGCAUUUUCAAGAAGGAAGGCACAGAGACAGGGGUGACCAGUGCUGUCUAAACAGCAUGACGUCGAGGCUAGGAAUCCCAACUUUGCCAUCAGACACAUUUUGGUUUGAACCCGGUCGCCGCUACUUUCUGGUGUGAUCCCAGAGACGUCACCUACCCUCGUGUGUAGGGAGAGAUGGUAAAUGCUCCUGGUCAGAGGGCUGCUCUGAAGACUCAACAGGACAACGAUGUGAAAAGGGUGGCACCGUGCCUGGCAC
RNAcentral lists this long non-coding RNA (628 nucleotides) under Equus caballus (horse). RNAcentral describes it as "lncRNA (ENSECAG00000050349.1)". The record is from RNAcentral. Lineage: Eukaryota; Metazoa; Chordata; Mammalia; Perissodactyla; Equidae.